UAGUAUUUAUAAUAGUAUAUUAAAACAGUAUAUUACAUUAAAAAAUAAGGUGUAGUAUUUUACAAUAUAUUAAAACAAUAUAUUACAUUAAAAAUUAAGGUGUAGUAUUUAUAACAGUAUAUUAAAACAGUAUAUUACCUUAAAAAUUAAUGGUUUAAUCAAAAAAUUAACAAUAUUAAUUAUUUAAAUUAAUUAAUAACAUUAAUUAAUAAUAUUAUAGAAGUGUGUGCUGAAAGAUCAACAAACAACAAGGUUUAUAAUAAAAAUGCCUGCAAACCAGAUUGUCUUCUGCAAUACUUUUCAGGAUAAAUUGGUUAAGUUCAGGAUAAGAUCCAACCAUAAAUUCAGACAACUAAACAAUUAAGAGAAAGCAGAAGACAAAUUAUAAACCAGGCACUUGGUACAACAGUCAGUGGAUGGAAGAAGCAACAAGGUUUUGAACGACUAAACAAAUGCAAAACUACUAAGCAGAAAAGACAUCAAACAAAAAAGGAACUAUAAGGAAGCAACAGGCAUUUUCGGCCUGUCAAACAAAAUUUGAACCAUAAGGCAGCAACAUACAUCAAACAAAAAACAAAUAUAGAAACGAAGAACGAGAGGAAUAGAUAAGAUUUACCGAAUGAACUUACCAAGCGAAGGUGCAGGUGCAGGUGGAGGUGGAGAUUGGUAAGGUGGAGGUGGAUUGUUGCCGAAGGUGAACUCGAAUUGAGAAAAAAAGGGAGGAGGGCACGGGCUUAGGGUUAGGGAGAAACAUGAAAUGGGGGAAAUGGGAAAUGGGUUAAUG
RNAcentral lists this long non-coding RNA (784 nucleotides) under Gossypium barbadense (sea-island cotton). RNAcentral describes it as "long non-coding RNA (GBAR_LNC019273)". The record is from RNAcentral. Lineage: Eukaryota; Viridiplantae; Streptophyta; Magnoliopsida; Malvales; Malvaceae.